UAUCUAUUUUCCUAAAUGGAAGAGAGUAAGUGCGAUGCUUUUUAAAUAAAAUGUACAUGAUAGAAAGUAAAAUAGGUAGCAAACCUGAGCUCAAAAACAAAUCCCAUUUUCUUGUUCUCAACGUCUUCCCCUCUCUCCAUCUUAUCUCCUUGAAUUGUAGCACUUCGACAAAUCUUUCUUUUGCAAGUCUCCACUAUAAACUACGGGAAUUCACAGAAAGAAUAUUUUAAAUUCUCCUUUUCUUAUCUUGAAGCUAAAAAAAAAAUCCUCUUUUUUAUCAAACAAAUAAUAAUAAGAAAAUCCUCCAAGCAAACCCUUCAUGAUUUUUUCAUAUAUUAUAUCUAUAAGUAUAAACCCCGUCAAA
Molecule: long non-coding RNA, 364 nt
Filed under: Phoenix dactylifera (date palm)
Lineage: Eukaryota; Viridiplantae; Streptophyta; Magnoliopsida; Arecales; Arecaceae
Description: long non-coding RNA (PDAC_LNC006744)
Source: RNAcentral